GCGGGAAUAGCUCAGUGGUAGAGCACAACCUUGCCAAGGUUGGGGUCGCGGGUUCAACCCCCGUUUCCCGCUCCA
RNAcentral lists this transfer RNA (75 nucleotides) under Pseudomonadales bacterium. RNAcentral describes it as "tRNA-Gly". It matches the Rfam family "tRNA". Rfam says of the family: Transfer RNA (tRNA) molecules are approximately 80 nucleotides in length. Lineage: Bacteria; Pseudomonadati; Pseudomonadota; Gammaproteobacteria; Pseudomonadales. RNAcentral also lists the same sequence under 2 other names. The record is from RNAcentral.